This 553-nucleotide long non-coding RNA is filed under the name Brassica rapa (field mustard). Its description in RNAcentral is "long non-coding RNA (BRAP_LNC000195)". The record is from RNAcentral. Lineage: Eukaryota; Viridiplantae; Streptophyta; Magnoliopsida; Brassicales; Brassicaceae.
AAUCAAUUAAUGGAAGCAAUACAUAUGUAGAUGAAGAAGUGAUUGGUUAGGGAUUAGGUGAAGAAAAAAUUUGGGUAAAAUCUGGGGAAAAAGGGGUGAGGAAGAGGAUGAUGGUCGGGUCACGCUUUUUAAUUGGUUUAACUGAAUUAGGUGUCGGUUCUAUUUACGAGUUUUUUUUGUUUGGUUUUGUGAUUAAACCGAAAAUUGUCUUAACCAAUAUCAAAUUGAGUUUCAUGGAGAAAUAUGUUUAGAACUUUUAUGUCGAGGACAUCUAGAAUGAGGUCAUAGUUUGGGAGACAUAUGGUACUAUACGAUACUUCUCAUGGGGAAAUAGCUCGUCUUCCCUUCUUUUAUUUAUAAUUUUUUUUUCUGAAUUGCAUGUCCUUAAGUAGCAUAAAAUAUGGUAUAUGAAGAAAAAUUGUUUCCAAACUAUUUUUCUCAUGGAGUUCAACGUGUGCCACUCCCAGAUUUGCUAGCCCAGUUGAGCCAGUGACUGGUCCAUAUGUUUUGUUGUCGUUAGUUACGAGCACUGUCAUUCAAUGUAUCAAUACAU